This 199-nucleotide long non-coding RNA is filed under the name Nicotiana benthamiana. Its description in RNAcentral is "long non-coding RNA (NBEN_LNC017698)". Lineage: Eukaryota; Viridiplantae; Streptophyta; Magnoliopsida; Solanales; Solanaceae. The record is from RNAcentral.
UUUCAAAUUAUUAAUAUUAAACUAAUUCCCUAAUCUUUCAUUCCCGAAUUAACCCUGAAUCCUACUAUUACUACCCUGAUUCAAAAAUUUGUUCAAACUUCAAAAAUUAUCUAAAACUAAAAUCAUAUUACCAGCUAUAACCAAUUCACCUAAUCAAUUAACCAAAAAUAUUGCAGAUAUAACCAAUUCCUAAUCAAAU